AUGUAAUAUGGAAACAUGUAGAACGAUUCAUUCGCUCCCAUAAAUAUAUCAUUUGGAAGUUGAAUAGCACCAUAUAGCUUGGUUUGCAAACCAAAGACAAAGUUUCUAUGUGUUAAACACCAAGCCAGUUCCCUCAACUCUUACAAAUCCUUCAAAACUUAGAAUUUACCUAUGCAAAAUUCUUAUAUAUUAUAAUCACAGAAACUUUGAUAGUAUAAACCAGCUUUUAUAUAAAGACGAGCUUCUCUAAAUAUGUCAGUGUAUAUGCAGCCAAUGGUAAAUAUUGCAGGGGCCAUUUCAAGCCCUAGAUAAACGAAAUAAGGGUUUGAUGUAUGUUCCAACUAUGUAAUAGAAUACAUGAUAGUGUUGGGAAAGCAUUAAGAGUCAGCUAACCAUUGCACUCUCAUCCUCGUUUCGUUCAAUACCAUACACAGGGUACAUUAAAGCCCACCUAGUCGACGUAUUCCAAUUACCCAGCUUAGUUACGACUUUCUCCCAAUUGUAUAAGAAUUUUAACAAGUGAUAAAGCUGAGACAUAACUCAUGCAUCGUAAACGAUACCUACCUUAAAUAAAGUUGUACUGCAACGUCAACAACUUCGUAAUCUUUCAAAUCUUUCUCGCUAUUGAUACUCUUUUACGUUAAACUGCAGUUCGAAGACGUUUAUGUGCUAUUCAGUGAUCAACGUUGGAAACCAAUUGACGAACUUUCUUUGUUGCGUCGCCAUUUAAAAUCCCCGGCAUUGACGUAUAUCUGACGUCAUGAGUUCGGGUGAGGCCUAAAGUAUCUGGGCGUAGGGUUACCUGUAAUAAAAUGCUAGACAAAGAACUGUUUUACUCGAGUAUUCGCGAAUUACACGGUUAGCUACAGCACAACAAUGAACCCGUAGGGAUUUUCGAUGGAUUGUAGUACUUUUUGAGUCUUCUGAAGGCUAAAAAGGUUUCAGUAUGGCCUCUGCUCUGCAGCAUAAGUAAUAAAAAUAACUCGCGAUUCUUCUUAAGGGAAAGUGUUACUACAAACUCGUGGAGUACUUAGAUUAAGGACUCUGAUAUUGAAUCUAUAAUGAGCCAUAUAACCAAAAAUGUCAUUGCUUUCUGUAAUUCCAUGCAUAUAUUGAGUUUAUCAGGACAUCGCCAUGCAUGGAGAGUGCACUAGAAAUUUCGAGAAUCAAGGUUGGCCGUGGUAGCGUAGAUACGGAAGGAAAACAGGAAAGGAUUGGCUUGCUCCGUUGUGGGAAAUGUAAUAAUACUAUAUGUUGCGUGUAAUAAGCCUAAUAUUGGCAAUAAACAACUACAUUUAGUCCAAAUUCAGAAAUGAGUCAACACAUCUCUUUGAAGUACUUCUCUUUGUAGCUAUGCAUGGCGAUAAAUUGUUUGGGGGGUAAUGUUCAGCUGCUUGACAGAGCUCUUUCAACUGAAAAUGAUAGACCAUGUGGGCAUGAAUGUUAUCUAUUUUUGUCCUUCACUAUAAAACGUAUAUGAGAACAGAAACCCAGCUCAUUUUUGACCAUGGGAAUGGCAAGUUGCAUGUGUUCAACUUUUCUUCAAUUUCCAACAAAAUUUCUGAUUUGUGUCACAAAGUGAUUGCAUAUGUUUCUUUCAUCUUUAUGAGGAUCGCAUGAAGUUGGAUCCCUGUAGCCUACUCGGACUGCGAGCAGCCUAGAUCCCUGUAGAGUAGAGUAUACAUCUGAUUAUAAUUCUACCGCAUGUAAGAAGGACUUUACCAAAC
RNAcentral lists this long non-coding RNA (1727 nucleotides) under Paramuricea clavata. Lineage: Eukaryota; Metazoa; Cnidaria; Anthozoa; Malacalcyonacea; Plexauridae. The record is from RNAcentral.